AAUUAGAGGAUAGUAUGAAAGGAAAGACGUCUUACUUACUAUCUCAAAUACAACUUACUAAAUUUACCUAAAAGUAAAAAGGCUUUUAUAAACUAGAAAGACAACAAGACCCUGACGAACUUAAUUUAUUUAGCUGGGGCAGCUACAAAACAAAAUCUUAAUCUUUAACAAGACUCCUGACCCAAUCCUAUUGAUCAAAGAAAGAAGUUACCGCAGGGAUAACAGCAUAAUCGGGUUCAAGAGACCUUAUCUAAUAUCCGCCAUUUAACCUCGAUGUUGAAUUAAUGUUCCUAUAUUUAGCAAGAUAAAUACAAGGGGGUCUGUUCGACCUCUAACACAUUACAUGAUUUGAGUUCAGACCGGCGCAAGCCAGGUCAGUUUCUAUCUUCUUACAAAAAAGUGCUAGUACGAAAGGACCUCACAAAAAAUCCCA
This 433-nucleotide ribosomal RNA is filed under the name Sicarius levii. RNAcentral describes it as "partial 16S ribosomal RNA". The stretch from base 95 to 390 matches the Rfam family "Bacterial large subunit ribosomal RNA", at positions 2074 to 2646 of the family's 2925-position model. Lineage: Eukaryota; Metazoa; Arthropoda; Arachnida; Araneae; Sicariidae. The record is from RNAcentral.